AGUGAACGCUGGCGGUAGGCCUAACACAUGCAAGUCGAACGGCAGCACAGGAGAGCUUGCUCUCUAGGUGGCGAGUGUCGGACGGGUGAGGAGUACAUCGGAAUCUGCCCAGUCGUGGGGGGGAACGUAGGGGAACUUACACUAAUACCGCAUACGACCUUCGGGUGAAAGAGGGGGAUCGCAAGACCUCUCGCGAGUGGAUGAGCCGAUGUCGGAUUAGCUAGUUAGCGGGGUAAUGGCCCACCAAGGCGACGAUCCGUAGCUGGUCUGAGAGGAUGAUCAGCCACACUGGAACUGAGACACGGUCCAGACUCCUACGGGAGGCAGCAGUGGGGAAUAUUGGACAAUGGGCGCAAGCCUGAUCCAGCCAUACCGCGUGGGUGAAGAAGGCCUUCGGGUUGUAAAGCCCUUUUGUUGGGAAAGAAAUCCUUCAGGCUAAUACCCUGGGAGGAUGACGGUACCCAAAGAAUAAGCACCGGCUAACUUCGUG
This 490-nucleotide ribosomal RNA is filed under the name uncultured bacterium. Its description in RNAcentral is "partial 16S ribosomal RNA". It matches the Rfam family "Bacterial small subunit ribosomal RNA", at positions 29 to 507 of the family's 1533-position model. The record is from RNAcentral.